AGUGAACGCUGGCGGUAGGCCUAACACAUGCAAGUCGAACGGCAGCACAGUAAGAGCUUGCUCUUACGGGUGGCGAGUGGCGGACGGGUGAGGAAUACAUCGGAAUCUACUUUUUCGUGGGGGUUCACGUAGGGAAACUUACGCUAAUACCGCAUACGACCUACGGGUGAAAGCAGGGGAUCUUCGGACCUUGCGCGAUUGAAUGAGCCGAUGUCGGAUUAGCUAGUUGGCGGGGUAAAGGCCCACCAAGGCGACGAUCCGUAGCUGGUCUGAGAGGAGGAUCAGCGACACUGGAACUGAGACACGGUCCAGACUCCUACGGGAGGGAGCAGUGGGGAAUAUUGGACAAUGGGCGCAAGCCUGAUCCAGCCAUACCGCGUGGGUGAAGAAGGCGUUCGGGUUGUAAAGCCCUUUUGUUGGGAGAGAAAAGCAGCAGGUUAAUACCCCGCUGUUCUGACGGUACCCAAAGAAUAAGCACCGGCUAACUUCGUG
RNAcentral lists this ribosomal RNA (492 nucleotides) under uncultured bacterium. RNAcentral describes it as "partial 16S ribosomal RNA". It matches the Rfam family "Bacterial small subunit ribosomal RNA", at positions 29 to 507 of the family's 1533-position model. The record is from RNAcentral.